CCACAGCUCACUGCAACGCUGGAUCCUUAACCCACUGAGGGAGGCCAGGGAUUGAACCUGCAUCCUCACGGAUACUAGUCAGGUUCAUUACAACUGAGCCACAGUGGUAACUCCUCUAGUUUAGUUUCACUUUUUAUUUCUAAAUUUUUAUUGUCCUUAUGUUUUGUUUUGUUUUUCUAGCUUUGUUGGGCUCCCUGGCCUUCCUGGCUCUCAGUUUUUGUCACAGCCAGUAGUGACACUGACACAGACCCACCUUUCCCUCCUGAGCCAGGCAGCUGGAUUCUCUCAUAUUUUUCUCUGCUUUAUCCUCAAGGAUUCUCUACAAUAUUCAUAAGCAGGAAUAUCCAGUCUUCAUUCAGAUCUAUUUCCUUACUGGUCCUGAUCCAGACACCGGUCAAAGGCAACCCAGGACGGU
This 415-nucleotide long non-coding RNA is filed under the name Sus scrofa (pig). RNAcentral's name for it is "lncRNA (ENSSSCG00065034996.1)". The record is from RNAcentral. Lineage: Eukaryota; Metazoa; Chordata; Mammalia; Artiodactyla; Suidae.